AUACGUAGGGGGCUAGCGUUAUCCGGAAUUACUGGGCGUAAAGGGUGCGUAGGUGGUUUCUUAAGUCAGAGGUGAAAGGCUACGGCUCAACCGUAGUAAGCCUUUGAAACUGGGAAACUUGAGUGCAGGAGUUUAGGAGAGUGGAAUUCCUAGUGUAGCGGUGAAAUGCGUAGAUAUUAGGAGGAACACCAGUUGCGAAGGCGGCUCUCUGGACUGUAACUGACACUGAGGCACGAAAGCGUGGGGAGC
This 249-nucleotide ribosomal RNA is filed under the name uncultured bacterium. RNAcentral describes it as "partial 16S ribosomal RNA". It matches the Rfam family "Bacterial small subunit ribosomal RNA", at positions 523 to 769 of the family's 1533-position model. The record is from RNAcentral.